This 1423-nucleotide ribosomal RNA is filed under the name Anaxyrus kelloggi (little Mexican toad). RNAcentral describes it as "partial 16S ribosomal RNA". It matches the Rfam family "Bacterial large subunit ribosomal RNA", at positions 267 to 2595 of the family's 2925-position model. The record is from RNAcentral. Lineage: Eukaryota; Metazoa; Chordata; Amphibia; Anura; Bufonidae.
GCCAAAAAUCUAGCCCAACAAACACGAAUAUCACCAAACUAACUAUCUUCUUUAAAUAAAACAUUCUUACAUCUUAGUAAAGGCGAUUGAAAAUUUAUUUGGAGCUAUAACAAUAGUACCGCAAGGGAACGAUGAAAUACCUAAUGAAAAAUUUUAAGCAAUAAAAAGUAAAGAUUCCUCCUUGUACCUUUUGCAUCAUGGUUUAACUAGUCUAAUCAAGCAAAAAGCACUUUAAGUUUGACUUCCCGAAACUAAGUGAGCUACUUCAGGGCAGCUUUUAGAGCAAACCCGUCUCUGUAGCAAAAGAGUGGGACGACCCCCAAGUAGCGGUGACAGACCUAACGAACUUAGUGAUAGCUGGUUACUCAAGAAACGGAUCUAAGUCCAACCUGAAUUUCCUACCCUAGUUUAACAAAACAAACAUUUUUAAUUCAGAGUAAUUCAAAUAAGGUACAGCCUAUUUGAAACAGGACACAACCCAGACUAAUGGAUACCAACGGCUUCUAAUACAACUAAGUAGGCCUAAAAGCAGCCAUCUUUAGAAUAGCGUCAAAGCUUAAUUGUCACAACGCCUAAUUACUUCAUUCUUAUAUCAAUCCUCUACCCCUAUUGAGUAAUUCUAUACUUCUAUAGAAAAUUUUAUGUUAAAACUAGUAACAAGAAGAAGAUUCUUCUCUUAAAUGUAAGUGUACAUCAGAAAGGACAAACCACUGAUAUUUAACGUAAGUGAGAUCAGAGUAGAAACUUAACAAGAAAAAUCUACUACAACCUACGUUAACCUAACACAAGAGCAUUACAAGAAAGAUUAAAAGAAAAAGAAGGAACUCGGCAAACAUUAACCCCGCCUGUUUACCAAAAACAUCGCCUCUUGAGUCUUAUAAGAGGUCCAGCCUGCCCAGUGACCAUGUUCAACGGCCGCGGUAUCCUAACCGUGCGAAGGUAGCGUAAUCACUUGUUCUUUAAAUGAGGACUAGUAUGAAUGGCACCACGAGGGUUAUACUGUCUCCUUUUUCUAAUCAGUGAAACUAAUCUCCCCGUGAAGAAGCGGGGAUAGCCCUAUAAGACGAGAAGACCCUAUGGAGCUUAAAACAACAUAGCACUUACCUCAUAAACUAUAAAUUCCCGAAUACUCGAUCCCCAGGUAAGCUACCUAUAAGUUUUUGGUUGGGGUGACCGCGGAGCAUAACACAACCUCCACAUUGAAAGAAUCUAUUCUUAGUCAAGAUCUACAAAUCUAAACAUCAGUAUUCUGACAUCUAUUGACCCAAUACAAUUGAACAACGAACCAAGUUACCCUAGGGAUAACAGCGCAAUCCACUUCAAGAGCCCCUAUCGACAAGUGGGUUUACGACCUCGAUGUUGGAUCAGGGUAUCCCAGUGGUGCAGCCGCUACUAAAGGUUCGUUUGUUCAACGAUUAAAACC